RNAcentral lists this ribosomal RNA (507 nucleotides) under uncultured Glomeromycotina. RNAcentral's name for it is "partial small subunit ribosomal RNA". It matches the Rfam family "Eukaryotic small subunit ribosomal RNA", at positions 591 to 1092 of the family's 1831-position model. Lineage: Eukaryota; Fungi; Glomeromycota. The record is from RNAcentral.
CCAAUAGCGUAUAUUAAAGUUGUUGCAGUUAAAAAGCUCGUAGUUGAAUUUCGGGAUUGACACAUCGGUCGUGCCUUAAGGGGUGUGAACUGGUGUAGUCAAUUUCUCACCUUCUGGAGAACCGCGAUGCCCUUAAUUGGGUGCGGCGAGGAACCAGGACCUUUACUUUGAAAAAUUUAGAGUGUUUAAAGAAGGCAUUUUUGCUGGAAUACAUUAGCAUGGAAUAAUAAAUUAGGACGGCAUGAUUCUAUUUUGUUGGUUUCUAGGACCACCGUAAUGAUUAAUAGGGAUAGUUGGGGGCAUUAGUAUUCAAUUGUCAGAGGUGAAAUUCUUGGAUUUAUUGAAGACUAACUACUGCGAAAGCAUUUGCCAAGGAUGUUUUCAUUAAUCAAGAACGAAAGUUAGGGGAUCGAAGACGAUCAGAUACCGUCGUAGUCUUAACCAUAAACUAUGCCGACUAGGAAUCAGACGAUGUUAAUUUUUUAAUGACUCGUUUGGCACCUUACG